Molecule: ribosomal RNA, 497 nt
Filed under: uncultured bacterium
Lineage: Bacteria
Description: partial 16S ribosomal RNA
Rfam family: Bacterial small subunit ribosomal RNA
Source: RNAcentral
GAUGAACGCUGGCGGCGUGCCUAAUACAUGCAAGUCGAACGAACACACCAGGACCUUGCUCCUCUGACUUUAUCGGCGGUCGGGUGCUUACCUCGUGUUUAACCUACCUCUCAGACUGGGAUACCUUCGGCAAACCGUAGCUAAUACCGGAUAAUAUAUUGACCCUCAUUGUUCCCUCGUUAAAUACGGUUUUUCUUUCACUUAUAGCUGGCUCCGCCCCCCAUUCGCUAGUUGGUAAGGUAACGGCUUACCAAGGCAACGAUGCGUAGCCGACCUGAAAGGGAGAACGGACACACUGGAAGUGAGACAGGGUACAGACACAGACGGGAGGAAGCAGUAGGGAAUCUUACGCAAGGGGCGAAAGGCGGACGGAGCAAAGCCGCGGGAGUGAUGAAGGACUUAGGAUCGUAAAACGAUGUUAGUAGGGAAGAAGAAAUGUGUAAGUAACUAUGCACGUAUUGACGGUACCGAAUCAGAAAGCCACGGCUAACUACGUG